GUGAAUCAUCAAAUUUUUGAACGCAAAUUGCACUCUCCUCUGAUAGUAUGCCUGUUUGAGGGUCAGCCUAUAAAAAUCUACAUCGUUGCUUUUUCUCUUUGGCGUUCUUCGUAAAUUGUGUCAUCUUAAAUCCUUUUGAUUUAAGCGACUUAUAAUUUUCUUUUUUUUCCAUGAACGUUUCUAAGAUCUAUUUCUUUAUACGGUUAAGGUAUCUAUUUUUACUAGACGUGACCAUCAUAUCGGAUCGCGUCCAUAAUCUUUCAUUAACUGACCUCAGACAUGUAAGAUUACCCGCUGAA
This 299-nucleotide unclassified non-coding RNA is filed under the name Glomus sp. RNAcentral's name for it is "partial contains 5.8S ribosomal RNA and internal transcribed spacer 2". The stretch from base 1 to 65 matches the Rfam family "5.8S ribosomal RNA", at positions 84 to 154 of the family's 154-position model. Lineage: Eukaryota; Fungi; Glomeromycota; Glomeromycetes; Glomerales; Glomeraceae. The record is from RNAcentral.